RNAcentral lists this long non-coding RNA (375 nucleotides) under Malus domestica (apple). RNAcentral's name for it is "long non-coding RNA (MDOM_LNC010287)". Lineage: Eukaryota; Viridiplantae; Streptophyta; Magnoliopsida; Rosales; Rosaceae. The record is from RNAcentral.
UUUUUCAGCCUCGUCAGCACCUGUCACAUGCACACUCAGCUUUGCGGAAAUUACGGGCAAUUUGUCGAAGAUUUCUGGUGAAGUAGAAAGCACGUGAAUCUUACUAUUCAAUCACCGCUCUCCAUAUGCACCAUCAACUCCUCGGGUACCACAUAUAACUUUGUCAAAGAUCUCUGACAAAGUUUAGGCACGAGCAUUUCGAAGUUCCAGCUACCCUACUAUUACCCAUAAGGGUAAAGGAACAGCACCACUGCUUGACAACUGGAAAGUCCCUAUGUGUGUCGACCUCCGUGUUUUGCGGCAAGACAAGUUGGCAAGAACGUCCAACCUUUACUCACAUUCGAGAAAAGACUCCCAACAUAAUUACUUUCUCAA